Molecule: ribosomal RNA, 253 nt
Filed under: uncultured bacterium
Lineage: Bacteria
Also listed under: 2 other names
Description: partial 16S ribosomal RNA
Rfam family: Archaeal small subunit ribosomal RNA
Source: RNAcentral
AACCAGCACCUCAAGUGGUCAGGAUGAUUAUUGGGCCUAAAGCAUCCGUAGCUCGUUUUGUAAGUUUUCGGUUAAAUCCAUACGCUUAACGUAUGGGCUGCCGGGAAUACUGCAUAACUAGGAAGUGGGAGAGGUAGACGGUACUCGGUAGGAAGGGGUAAAAUCCUUUGAUCUAUUGAUGACCACCUGUGGCGAAGGCGGUCUACCAGAACACGUUCGACGGUGAGGGAUGAAAGCUGGGGGAGCAAACCGG